RNAcentral lists this non-coding RNA (98 nucleotides) under Pseudomonas sp. NFIX10. Lineage: Bacteria; Pseudomonadati; Pseudomonadota; Gammaproteobacteria; Pseudomonadales; Pseudomonadaceae. RNAcentral also lists the same sequence under 1 other name. The record is from RNAcentral.
UUUUAUGGCGGUUGUGCGUGGGAGAUUUUUCCGCAAGGAGGAAUCUGCCGGGGUUCCGUCUGCCCGGUCUUGCACACCUACGUACAACUGCCACCUCA